GUCGGUGGUUGAUGGUGGUGGGGAAACGCCCGGUCCCGUUCCGAACCCGGAAGCUAAGCCUGUCCACGCUGAUGGUACUGCACUCGGGAGGGUGUGGGAGAGUAGGUUACCGCCGACC
This 118-nucleotide ribosomal RNA is filed under the name Corynebacterium tapiri. The record is from RNAcentral. Lineage: Bacteria; Bacillati; Actinomycetota; Actinomycetes; Mycobacteriales; Corynebacteriaceae.